GGCUCAGAUUGAACGCUGGCGGAAUGCUUUACACAUGCAAGUCGAACGGUAGAGGGGGCAACCCUCGAGAGUGGCGAACGGGUGAGUAAUAUAUCGGAACGUGCCCAGUCGUGGGGGAUAACGUAGCGAAAGCUACGCUAAUACCGCAUACGAUCUAUGGAUGAAANCGGGGGAUCGCAAGACCUCGCGCGAUUGGAGCGGCCGAUAUCAGAUUAGGUAGUUGGUGAGGUAAAGGCUCACCAAGCCGACGAUCUGUAGCUGGUCUGAGAGGACGACCAGCCACACUGGGACUGAGACACGGCCCAGACUCCUACGGGAGGCAGCAGUGGGGAAUUUUGGACAAUGGGCGCAAGCCUGAUCCAGCAAUGCCGCGUGCAGGAUGAAGGCCUUCGGGUUGUAAACUGCUUUUGUACGGAACGAAACGGUGAGCUCUAAUACAGUUUGCUAAUGACGGUACCGUAAGAAUAAGCACCGGCUAACUACGUG
RNAcentral lists this ribosomal RNA (486 nucleotides) under uncultured bacterium. RNAcentral describes it as "bacterial SSU rRNA". It matches the Rfam family "Bacterial small subunit ribosomal RNA", at positions 21 to 507 of the family's 1533-position model. The record is from RNAcentral.